This 74-nucleotide transfer RNA is filed under the name Alphaproteobacteria bacterium. Its description in RNAcentral is "tRNA-Cys". It matches the Rfam family "tRNA". From Rfam's summary of the family: Transfer RNA (tRNA) molecules are approximately 80 nucleotides in length. Their secondary structure includes four short double-helical elements and three loops (D, anti-codon, and T loops). The record is from RNAcentral. Lineage: Bacteria; Pseudomonadati; Pseudomonadota; Alphaproteobacteria.
GGCCCAGUGGCAGAGUGGUUAUGCAGCGGCCUGCAAAGCCGUGUACAUCGGUUCGAUUCCGGUCUGGGCCUCCA